UCCUGCACCAAAAGUGCAUGUCCUUUCCC
RNAcentral lists this non-coding RNA (29 nucleotides) under Rattus norvegicus (Norway rat). The record is from RNAcentral. Lineage: Eukaryota; Metazoa; Chordata; Mammalia; Rodentia; Muridae.